Solanum pennellii is the source of this 2974-nucleotide long non-coding RNA. RefSeq lists it as uncharacterized. Lineage: Eukaryota; Viridiplantae; Streptophyta; Magnoliopsida; Solanales; Solanaceae. The transcript is spliced from 3 exons. The record is from RefSeq and is a predicted model, not a curated record.
GCAGCCGCAAUACAUAUCAAAAUGCAUAAAACUAUACAAUUCCCAUGAUAUCAUCAUUGAUGUACUACUAAAACUUGUGAAAUCACUUCUAAGGUUCAAAAGCGUUUGCAAAUCAGGGUGUUCUUUAAUUGAACAUGACAAAUUCAUCAAUCUUUGUCAAGAUCUAUGCAAUUGAACAUGACAAAUUCAUCAAUCUUUGUCAAGAUCUAUGCAAAAGUGAUAUAAAUAGAUAAAUUGUUGGCGCUUUUGCAAAUCAGGGUGUUCUUUAAUUGAAGAUGACAAAUUCAUCAAUCUUCGUCAAGAUCUAUGAAAAAGUGAUACAAAUAGAUAAAUAUUGUUGGUGUCUUUGUGUUGCAACAAGGAUGAUCCUUAUUACUACUCCUCCGUAGACGCUUCACUUGGACAUGAUUUUGUUGUUUCUCUUGUUGAGGGUGCUCUUUAAUUAAAGAUGACAAAUUCAUAAAUCUUCGUCAAGAUCUAUGCAAAACAAAAAUUGUUGGUGUCUUUGUUUUGCAACAAGGAUGAUCCUUACUACUCCUCCGUAGACGCUCCACUUCAACAUGAUUUCGUUGUUUCUUCUUGAGGGUCUUCUUUAAUUGAAGAUAGCAAAUUCAUCAAUCUUUAUCAAGAUCUAUGCAAAAGUGAUAUAAAUAGACAAAAAUUGUUGGUGUCUUUGUUUUGCAACAAGGAUGAUCCUUGCUACUACUACUCCGUUGACGCUCCACUUCAACAUGAUUAUGUUGUUUCUCCUGUUGAGGUAAUCCCCCUUGAAUCAACUAUGAUCAAUUUUAGCAAGGUAUGUAUUAUUUCUUGCAAUGGAAUAAUACUUUUCAUAGAAAGAUUUUGCGCCGCUCACUAAAUUCAGUGGUUAAUGAGAUUUGUAAAUCGAAUGUUCCUAUUUGGAGAAGAAUCAACAAAAUAGAUAAUUACAUAAAGACAUAUCCAAGUAAAGUAUAAAAGAAUUUUUCCUUUUUGAUGAAGUUAUUUUAUGGAAUCCAACUACUAGAAAAUUUUUUUAAAAAAAACCUUAGUCUAAUUUUUUUUUCUAAUCCUUAGACAUUAUGGAAUUGAAUUUAGGUUUUACAAUUCAAUAAACCAUAGUUUUGAAUAUAAUAUGGAAACAAUACUUCCUGAAUAGCAUUAAAUCAUUUUCUCUCUGACUUUUUACUUUUUAGGGAUUAAGCUAGGGAAAUGUUUUUUUGAUUCAGAAGAACUAAUAAAACUUAUUUUAUUUAAAUGAUUGAUUCCUGGUAGAGCUAUCAAAAAGGAUUGGCCCAGCCUAGCGGGCCCAAGCUUCGCAUGUCAAGAAAUUUGAAGGGCUAGGGCAGGCCGGCCCUUCAUUUGCAAGGACCUAAAAAUGUUCAACCCAACCCAACCCCAGAAGGGCCGAGGGUUGGGGCGGACUAGCUGUUCUUUUUUUCUUUUCAAAUUUAUAAUUUUAUAACAUUAAGAAAAUGAGAAGAUUUUCAAAUCAAAUAUGAUGAAUAAUGUUGUUUCAAUAACACAAGCAAAAAAUUUAGUGUAAUUAGCAUGUAUCUUGCAUUACCAAAUAUGCUAGCGAGAUAAGAGAAUGACAAGUAAGAUGGGAGGGAAGCGAGGGUGAGAGAUUUGUGUAUGUAUCCUAGACACAUGAGAAUCUACUCGGAUAGAGUGUACUUAGAAAAAAUUAACUUAAUUUUGAGUCCAUAUAUAUUGAGAUACAUGUAUCUGAAUGUACUAAAAUUUGUUUGUGUGCAUUGAAGUAACUAGAUUAUAUAUUAUUGAUAUUAUUGUAAGUUACCCUUAAAUAAAAGAAUGGGCUGAACCCGACCCGACCUUAAUCAAGUCUCAAGGACCAAGGACUUAUAUAGGUCGGACUUAUAAGCCCUAAUUUUAAAUGAGCUUGAAUAAUUCUAUUCCAACCCUAUCCCAAUAACGGGUUGGGUCGGGUCGGACCCAGCCUAUUUGACAGCUCUAAUUUCUGAUAUCGGAGGCUCAAGAAGAGAGGCAACAAAAUCGUAUUGAAGUGUAGCGUUUAUAUAGCAGCAAUAGUCGUCCCUGUGUCAAAUAGACGACCAUGCAUAAAAAUAUUAUGACGAUUUACGUUACGUCUAGACAUAUCGUGGUGAUGCUUGAUGAAUUAGAGAUUUUCAUAAAAAUUAAUGAGAGUCAUGAUUUUGCAAACGUGAAUCGUAAAAGCGAUUUGACCGAAAGUCUUAGAAGUAUAUUGAUGGUGAUAUCAUUAGGCAUUUCAAAGAUCUUUGGAUUUAGUAAUUGCUUGGUUUUGGAUAGUGUUUUGAGUUUGAAUUUUUCUUAUUCUAUAAGAGGGAGUAUCUAAGCUCUUCUCUCUCAACAUAUUUAUUUCUUCACUAAGGUAAUCUUGUCAUUUAAUGUGUUUCAUGAGGAUAACGAUCAUCAUUUCACGAGCAUAUGGUUGCAAGUAGAAAGUUCUUCUAAGACUUGUAGUCGAAUCGCUUUUACGAUUCAAAUGCAUUUGCAAAUUAUGACGCUAUUUAAUGGAAGAUUCCUAAUUCAUCAAGCAUCAUCAUGAUAUGUUUGAAAGUGAUGUGAAUCGUCAUAAAAUUUUAAAUAAUUAACUUCAAAGUCAUAAAUAUUAAAAUCAACUGUUAUAUUAAUUUAUUUUGAACUGUGCAAGAUCCGUGAGAGUCAAGUGUUUACGUGUAAGAAAUAAAAAUAAAAAGCACAUUCAUAAAAUAAAAAUACAAAAUUAUUAAAAUUUUUGUAUAUAUACAACUUUAACAUAAUAGAUCUGAAUUGUAAUCAAGUAAAUUGUAUUUAAUAAUAGAUAACGCCUCAAACUAUUAUUAUUUCUAAAACUAUAAGCUAAAUUUGGGCAUAACUAGAGGUAUCAAAUAUGAUCCAAAAAUAGAUGGUCCGCCCAAAAUGUAGGCCCACACUCAUACUUUAUCAUAUGAGUAAAAAUAAGGAAAAAUUACAUAAAUUGAUAUAUUUUAAUAAAUAAUUACUGAUUUUA